GACGAACCGUGCGAACGUUAUUCGGAUUCACUGGGCUUAAAGGGCGCGUAGGCGGGCUCGCCAGUCCGGGGUGAAAUCUUUCGGCUUAACCGGAAAAGUGCCUCGGAUACUGCGAGCCUUGAGGGAGGUAGGGGCAUGUGGAACUUCCGGUGGAGCGGUGAAAUGCGUUGAUAUCGGAAGGAACGCCGGUGGCGAAAGCGACGUGCUGGCCCUCUUCUGACGCUGAGGCGCGAAAGCUAGGGGAGCAAACAGG
RNAcentral lists this ribosomal RNA (253 nucleotides) under uncultured bacterium. RNAcentral's name for it is "partial 16S ribosomal RNA". It matches the Rfam family "Bacterial small subunit ribosomal RNA", at positions 524 to 776 of the family's 1533-position model. The record is from RNAcentral.